This 1107-nucleotide ribosomal RNA is filed under the name Microbacterium binotii. RNAcentral's name for it is "partial 16S ribosomal RNA". Lineage: Bacteria; Bacillati; Actinomycetota; Actinomycetes; Micrococcales; Microbacteriaceae. The record is from RNAcentral.
GAUCUGCGAUUACUAGCGACUCCGACUUCAUGAGGUCGAGUUGCAGACCUCAAUCCGAACUGGGACCGGCUUUUUGGGAUUCGCUCCACCUCACGGUAUUGCAGCCCUUUGUACCGGCCAUUGUAGCAUGCGUGAAGCCCAAGACAUAAGGGGCAUGAUGAUUUGACGUCAUCCCCACCUUCCUCCGAGUUGACCCCGGCAGUAUCCCAUGAGUUCCCACCAUUACGUGCUGGCAACAUAGAACGAGGGUUGCGCUCGUUGCGGGACUUAACCCAACAUCUCACGACACGAGCUGACGACAACCAUGCACCACCUGUAUACGAGUGUCCAAAGAGUUCUACAUUUCUGCAGCGUUCUCGUAUAUGUCAAGCCUUGGUAAGGUUCUUCGCGUUGCAUCGAAUUAAUCCGCAUGCUCCGCCGCUUGUGCGGGUCCCCGUCAAUUCCUUUGAGUUUUAGCCUUGCGGCCGUACUCCCCAGGCGGGGAACUUAAUGCGUUAGCUGCGUCACGGAAACCGUGGAAUGGUCCCCACAACUAGUUCCCAACGUUUACGGGGUGGACUACCAGGGUAUCUAAGCCUGUUUGCUCCCCACCCUUUCGCUCCUCAGCGUCAGUUACGGCCCAGAGAUCUGCCUUCGCCAUCGGUGUUCCUCCUGAUAUCUGCGCAUUCCACCGCUACACCAGGAAUUCCAAUCUCCCCUACCGCACUCUAGUCUGCCCGUACCCACUGCAGGCUGGAGGUUGAGCCUCCAGUUUUCACAGCAGACGCGACAAACCGCCUACGAGCUCUUUACGCCCAAUAAUUCCGGAUAACGCUUGCGCCCUACGUAUUACCGCGGCUGCUGGCACGUAGUUAGCCGGCGCUUUUUCUGCAAGUACCGUCACUUUCGCUUCUUCCUUGCUAAAAGAGGUUUACAACCCCGAAGGCCGUCAUCCCUCACGCGGCGUUGCUGCAUCAGGCUUUCGCCCAUUGUGCAAUAUUCCCCACUGCUGCCUCCCGUAGGAGUCUGGGGCCGUGUCUCAGUCCCAGUGGGGGCCGGUCACCCUCUCAAGGCCGGCUACCCGUCCAACGCCUUGGGGGAGCCAUUACCUCACCCAACAAGCUUGAU